RNAcentral lists this ribosomal RNA (497 nucleotides) under uncultured bacterium. RNAcentral's name for it is "partial 16S ribosomal RNA". It matches the Rfam family "Bacterial small subunit ribosomal RNA", at positions 28 to 507 of the family's 1533-position model. The record is from RNAcentral.
GUUGAACGCUGGCGGCGUGCCUAAUACAUGCAAGUCGAGCGAACAGAUGAGGAGCUUGCUCCUCUGACGUUAGCGGCGGACGGGUGUGUUACACGUGGAUAACCUACCUAUAAGACUGGGAUAACUUCGGGACCCCGGUGCUAAUACCGGCUAAUAUCUUGAACAGCAUGGUUCACUACUGAACGCCGGCUUUGCUGUUACUUAUAGAUGGAUCCGCGCCUGAUUAGCUAGUUGGUGAGGUAACGGCAUACCAAGGCAACGAUGAGUAGCCGACCUGAGAGGAUGAUCAGCCACACUGGGACUGAGACACGGCCCAGACUCCUACGGGAGGCAGCAGUGGGGAAUUUUCCGCAAUGGGCGAAAGCCUGACGGAGCAACGCCGCGUGAGUGAUGAAGGUCUUCGGGUCGUAAAGCACUGUUGUUAGGGAAGAAAAAAUGUGUAAGAAUCUGGGCGCGGCUUGACGGUACCGAAAGAGAAAGCCACGGCUAACUACGUG